AGCGAACGCUGGCGGCAGGCUUAACACAUGCAAGUCGAGCGGGCACUUUCGGGUGUUAGCGGCGGACGGGUGAGUAACGCGUGGGAACGUGCCCUCUGGUUCGGAAUAACUCAGGGAAACUUGAGCUAAUACCGGAUACGCCCUUUUGGGGAAAGGCUUGCUGCCGGAGGAUCGGCCCGCGUCUGAUUAGCUAGUUGGUGAGGUAACGGCUCACCAAGGCGACGAUCAGUAGCUGGUCUGAGAGGAUGAUCAGCCACACUGGGACUGAGACACGGCCCAGACUCCUACGGGAAGCAGCAGUGGGGAAUAUUGGACAAUGGGCGCAAGCCUGAUCCAGCCAUGCCGCGUGAGUGAUGAAGGCCUUAGGGUUGUAAAGCUCUUUUAUCCGGGACGAUAAUGACGGUACCGGAGGAAUAAGCCCCGGCUAACUUCGUG
Molecule: ribosomal RNA, 435 nt
Filed under: uncultured bacterium
Lineage: Bacteria
Description: partial 16S ribosomal RNA
Rfam family: Bacterial small subunit ribosomal RNA
Source: RNAcentral